RNAcentral lists this transfer RNA (73 nucleotides) under Trichonephila inaurata madagascariensis. It matches the Rfam family "tRNA". From Rfam's summary of the family: Transfer RNA (tRNA) molecules are approximately 80 nucleotides in length. Their secondary structure includes four short double-helical elements and three loops (D, anti-codon, and T loops). Lineage: Eukaryota; Metazoa; Arthropoda; Arachnida; Araneae; Nephilidae. The record is from Rfam by way of RNAcentral.
UGUUCCGUAGUGUAGUGGUUAUCACGUUCGCUUUGCAUGCGAAAGGUCUCCGGUUCGAUCCUGGACGGAACCA